This 1409-nucleotide ribosomal RNA is filed under the name Microbacterium sp. RNAcentral describes it as "bacterial SSU rRNA". It matches the Rfam family "Bacterial small subunit ribosomal RNA". Lineage: Bacteria; Bacillati; Actinomycetota; Actinomycetes; Micrococcales; Microbacteriaceae. The record is from RNAcentral.
CCUUAACAUGCAAGUCGAACGGUGAAGCCCCGCUUGCGGGGUGGAUCAGUGGCGAACGGGUGAGUAACACGUGAGCAACCUGCCCCUGACUCUGGGAUAAGCGCUGGAAACGGCGUCUAAUACUGGAUACGAGACGUGAUCGCAUGGUCAACGUUUGGAAAGAUUUUUCGGUUGGGGAUGGGCUCGCGGCCUAUCAGCUUGUUGGUGAGGUAAUGGCUCACCAAGGCGUCGACGGGUAGCCGGCCUGAGAGGGUGACCGGCCACACUGGGACUGAGACACGGCCCAGACUCCUACGGGAGGCAGCAGUGGGGAAUAUUGCACAAUGGGCGCAAGCCUGAUGCAGCAACGCCGCGUGAGGGAUGACGGCCUUCGGGUUGUAAACCUCUUUUAGCAGGGAAGAAGCGAGAGUGACGGUACCUGCAGAAAAAGCACCGGCUAACUACGUGCCAGCAGCCGCGGUAAUACGUAGGGUGCAAGCGUUAUCCGGAAUUAUUGGGCGUAAAGAGCUCGUAGGCGGUUUGUCGCGUCUGCUGUGAAAUCUGGGGGCUCAACCCCCAGCCUGCAGUGGGUACGGGCAGACUAGAGUGCGGUAGGGGAGAUUGGAAUUCCUGGUGUAGCGGUGGAAUGCGCAGAUAUCAGGAGGAACACCGAUGGCGAAGGCAGAUCUCUGGGCCGUAACUGACGCUGAGGAGCGAAAGGGUGGGGAGCAAACAGGCUUAGAUACCCUGGUAGUCCACCCCGUAAACGUUGGGAACUAGUUGUGGGGUCCAUUCCACGGAUUCCGUGACGCAGCUAACGCAUUAAGUUCCCCGCCUGGGGAGUACGGCCGCAAGGCUAAAACUCAAAGGAAUUGACGGGGACCCGCACAAGCGGCGGAGCAUGCGGAUUAAUUCGAUGCAACGCGAAGAACCUUACCAAGGCUUGACAUAUACGAGAACGGGCCAGAAAUGGUCAACUCUUUGGACACUCGUAAACAGGUGGUGCAUGGUUGUCGUCAGCUCGUGUCGUGAGAUGUUGGGUUAAGUCCCGCAACGAGCGCAACCCUCGUUCUAUGUUGCCAGCACGUAAUGGUGGGAACUCAUGGGAUACUGCCGGGGUCAACUCGGAGGAAGGUGGGGAUGACGUCAAAUCAUCAUGCCCCUUAUGUCUUGGGCUUCACGCAUGCUACAAUGGCCGGUACAAUGGGCUGCAAUACCGUGAGGUGGAGCGAAUCCCAAAAAGCCGGUCCCAGUUCGGAUUGAGGUCUGCAACUCGACCUCAUGAAGUCGGAGUCGCUAGUAAUCGCAGAUCAGCAACGCUGCGGUGAAUACGUUCCCGGGUCUUGUACACACCGCCCGUCAAGUCAUGAAAGUCGGUAACACCUGAAGCCGGUGGCCUAACCCUUCGGGGAGGGAGCUUCGAAGGUGAC